GCACAUCCGCCAGCGUGUGAAAAUGUUCUGGGCCAAACAAGAGCAGAAAAUGAAAUGUAAAAUGGAGGAUGAGGAAGAAGAGCCUGCUGCCUCAGUACCAAAUCCUUAGCCGGUGUCAGCCACUCCGUGUGGAAGGACGGUGCAUCCAAACUGCACUUUCCCUGUGACGGCGUCUUUUAGCAAGCCUUAGUGUGGUGGAUACACGACCCUUUGCACACGAGGUAGGAUUUGUUACAGACAAGCUGAAGUUUAGUUUCCUGCCUUGCCCGGAAUGCUACGCUUUCACGUGGCCAUCUUCCCCGCAGUUGUUGACAUGCCUAGUGACCGUGACCUCUGACACCCGUUUUCCCACUUUUGCCAGGAUCUGUAUUUUAACUUACCUCAGAGCCCUCUUAGUUGUCUUGGUUUGGGGGUGGUUUGGGGGUGUUGGGAUAACAGAUGGGGCAAGGCUGUAGCCCUACUGAGCUGUUUCCAGAGGCCGUUGUCAGGAAGGAUUUCCAGUGUUACAGCCCCAGAGUAUAACAGCAGCGCCCUGUUAGCUUAAUGGUCCCCAUUGGUUCUGUGGCUGCGGCUCACCAGGAUUCUCCCAUUCAAAAGGCCCAGACAUGGCUGACAGCCUCCUCUGUAGGUCUGACUGACAAGCUACCACGCGUCUUAGGUAAAUAGUAAAGCCUUUAUUUUCUUGUUAAGAACAGCAUUUUGAAAAUAAAACCUAUCUGCCCAUGCUUAACAACCUUUAAAGUCUGUGAUAUUUUAUAUACAGCCCUGUACAUACUGAUUGUCUGGAAAUUUCUUAAACAGUUUUUGUUUAUAAGUAUGCAAGUCAGCCAGGAUGAGGGGAAGAGUGAGGGUACAUUAUAAAAUACACAUUAAUACAUUUAAUAAAUAUAUAUUAUCUAUCAAAAACGAGCCAUAGCUCUUAAUGAAUAAAGCACCUGCCAAGGGCUCUCAUCAGCUCACAGUUGCUACAUCCUUGGAUGUGUAAAUGCCAGUGCCCCCUUCUACUUUGCCAUUUGGCAAAUUCAAAAGACAACUCUUCCCCCACCCUGCACUUGUUCCCUGGCCUUGACCUCCUCUGUGUGGGGGUGGGGCAGACAACAACCAGAUCUUAACUUUAGAAACAGCUGACACAUUGGAGCCCCUCCCCUCUGCCAUUGUCCUGCUACCUUGGCAACUGACUCCAGACCUCUAUGGAGUCUUCACUCAGGAGGGGACAGAGCGGUGGUUAUAGUCCCAAUAUGGUAUUAGUACCCGGGCAUGCCAAGUUGUGCUUGCAGUUUGGGGUUAUUCACAGAUGACUUUCUAGACCAUUUUCCCCAACCAAGUCUUGGGUCUAUCAACACUUAAACAGGUGCCAUGGGAUUCUGCAUUUCAGCCUUGCUCUGUCAGAAGCUGGCUGCCACAGUCUCUGGGUGGAGUUGCCUCGUGGUCCUCGGUCCUCUUCAGGUGAAUUUGAACUCAAAAUAAUAGUAGACGUUGACCUAAUUCCUUUGCUCCCACUUCCGCCCUCCAUGUAAAAACAUUCAACCCACCCCGAAUCUUAAAGCCGAGAUAAAACAAAGCCCAGAAGCGCAAUAACCUAUCAGGAUCGGAAAGAACAAAAAGCAAAACUGAAAUGCCUCACUAAGCAAGGAGGUUUCUUGUGGCUCAACGUGGUUCUGUUUUACAGUGCAGAGAUGCUGCUCUCUGCACAGCCAUUUGUACGGUGCGGUGCUCACCUCAUACGUGGACAACAAAGAGCUUAGAGAGAAAACCAUCAAUCAUGUCAGCUUCUCCC
RNAcentral lists this long non-coding RNA (1777 nucleotides) under Rattus norvegicus (Norway rat). RNAcentral's name for it is "long non-coding RNA NONRATT001139". Lineage: Eukaryota; Metazoa; Chordata; Mammalia; Rodentia; Muridae. The record is from RNAcentral.